Molecule: long non-coding RNA, 210 nt
Filed under: Elaeis guineensis (African oil palm)
Lineage: Eukaryota; Viridiplantae; Streptophyta; Magnoliopsida; Arecales; Arecaceae
Description: long non-coding RNA (EGUI_LNC033303)
Source: RNAcentral
UAGAAUUAAUUAUAUUUUUCAAACUAUCUAUAUGGGACAAUCAAUUGAUCAAUAUACAUAAUUAUUUCAUCUAUAUAAAAAUUAUAAUAUAUAAAUAUCAUAGAAGAUGUACAUUAAUCAAAAGAUGGAUCUAUGGUUCUAUGAAAUGCAAUAUUUUUGAACUUUUUAACUUAGGGUGUUCGAAAGUAUCAAGCAACAUUAUAAACGGAG